Sciurus carolinensis (gray squirrel) is the source of this 500-nucleotide long non-coding RNA. RefSeq lists it as uncharacterized. The transcript is spliced from 6 exons. Lineage: Eukaryota; Metazoa; Chordata; Mammalia; Rodentia; Sciuridae. The record is from RefSeq and is a predicted model, not a curated record.
UGCCAACACUCUAGGCUUUCUCUGUGGCAGAGGCCUGCAGUCUGUACAAAUCCCACCCACCAACAGAAGCAGGGACUUUCAAACUCGGUUUCACAGGAUGACACUUAAAGAUGUUAUCCUUCUUUAACAUACUGGACCACUGAAAGAAUUCUUCACAUCGACAUGUUCCUUAGCCCCACUGCUGAAAAUGUCCAGGAGUGCAUAGAGAGCCCAGAGGAUGACUGAUAGGGCACAGCUCAGACAGAAAGAAGACCUGAACAAAGGGCCACACAACUGCCUGAAAAACAGAAGAGAAGUGCAGCCUCCUCUUCAACAGUGCUGGGGAUUGACCAGGACAUCACAUUUGUUAGAAAGAAUUGAUUCAAUAAGUUAUGGAAUGGGAGGUCAUAAAAAGGAAUGAAGAACUGUCUUUGUGCUAUAUGGAAUAAUCUCUCAAAAAUGAAUGAAAAUGGUGACACAUUGAGGGAUAGAGAGAUUUCCUGAAGAAGACAAUUGUCACU